AUCCUUCGGGUCUGUGGUUGCAAGCCGAUGCCAGUCGCAGGCCAAGCGGUCCACGUAAUCCGGCCAAAGCGCCGGGGAGCAUGGUGCGGUUUAGAGGUAAGCCCGUCCGGAAUGCGGAAGCGUUUCGAGAGGAGUGCGUGAGGGCGCACGAUGCGUUGAGCAACCUCCCAGACGGCGAGUGUGGGGUCAAAGACCAGGUCAGCCGAAGGUU
Faecalibacterium sp. CAG:74 is the source of this 211-nucleotide regulatory RNA element. It matches the Rfam family "raiA RNA". NCBI's taxonomy places the organism in Bacteria, Bacillati, Bacillota, Clostridia, Eubacteriales, Oscillospiraceae. The record is from Rfam.